ACGGGGUGCAGCAGGCGCGAAAACUCCGCAAUACACGAAAGUGUGACGGGGGAACCCCAAGUGCUCUCGCGCAAGCGAGUGCUUUUGUGAGGUGUAAAUAGCUUUGUGAAUAAGAGCUGGGUAAGACCGGUGCCAGCCGCCGCGGUAACACCGGCAGCUCGAGUGGUAAUCGUUAUUAUUGGGCCUAAAGCGUCCGUAGCCUGUUUGAUAAGUCCUUGGGCAAAUCCUGCCGCUUAACGGUAGGAAUUCUGGGGAUACUGUCAGACUUGAGGCCGAGAGAGGUCGGAGGUACUUCUAGGGUAGCGGUGAAAUGCUAUAAUCCUAGGGGGACCACCAGUGGCGAAAGCGUCCGACCAGAGCGGGCCUGACGGUAAGGGACGAAAGCCAGGGUCGCGAACGGGAUUAGAUACCCCGGUAGUCCUGGCCGUAAACGCUGUGGGCUAGGUGUUGCAUGCUCUACGAGGGCGUGCAGUGCCGAAGAGAAGUUGAUAAGCCUACCGCCUGG
Molecule: ribosomal RNA, 505 nt
Filed under: uncultured archaeon
Lineage: Archaea
Description: bacterial SSU rRNA
Rfam family: Archaeal small subunit ribosomal RNA
Source: RNAcentral